AACGAACGCUGGCGGCAUGCUUAACACAUGCAAGUUGAACGCAGAAUAGAACUUCGGUUCUAUUGCUGAGUAGCAGACGGGUGAGUAACGCGUGGGAAUCUACCUUCUUGUGAGGAAUAACUGAGGGAAACUUCAGCUAAUACCGCAUAAGCUCUACGGAGGAAAGGCUUCGGCCGCAGGAAGAGGAGCCCGCGUCAGAUUAGGUAGUUGGUGGGGUAAAGGCCUACCAAGCCAAUGAUCUGUAGCUGGUCUGAGAGGAUGAUCAGCCACACUGGGACUGAGACACGGCCCAGACUCCUACGGGAGGCAGCAGUGGGGAAUAUUGGACAAUGGGGGAAACCCUGAUCCAGCAAUGCCGCGUGAAUGAAGAAGGCCUUAGGGUUGUAAAGUUCUUUCACCUGUGAAGAUAAUGACGGUAGCAGGAGAAGAAGCCCCGGCUAACUCCGUGCCAGCCGCCGCGGUAA
RNAcentral lists this ribosomal RNA (464 nucleotides) under uncultured bacterium. RNAcentral describes it as "partial 16S ribosomal RNA". It matches the Rfam family "Bacterial small subunit ribosomal RNA", at positions 29 to 523 of the family's 1533-position model. The record is from RNAcentral.